Hemicordylus capensis (graceful crag lizard) is the source of this 2173-nucleotide long non-coding RNA. RefSeq lists it as uncharacterized. NCBI's taxonomy places the organism in Eukaryota, Metazoa, Chordata, Lepidosauria, Squamata, Cordylidae. The record is from RefSeq and is a predicted model, not a curated record. The transcript is spliced from 2 exons.
GUCCUUUUGCGAAGAGCCAGACAAGCUGCCCCCAAGAAAGAGAAGCAAGCCACACGGGAUGCCCCUCCCCUUUGCCUCCUGCGGAGGGGAGGGAGUUUGUCCCAGCCACGCUCCGCAGGAGGCCCCAAAGGCACCUGAUUGGCCCGUUCAGUUUGGGGGGUGGGGCUUUGGCCCUUGCUGGGUUUUCCCCACCCCCGCUCUUCAGUUCGGGCCGAGCAUCCAUGGAGGAAGGAGCUCUUUCAUAGAGCUCCUUCUAGGCCUGAACCGGAAUGAGGGGGGGUAGCACCCGAGGAUCGGAAGAGUGGCGUAUUUUGGUGGGUAGCAUCGACCUGCCGAGCGGCGGCUUCCCCGGACAUCGGCGGCCAUUUUAGCGGCCUGAGGGGGCAUCGGCCUGCGGCUGGAGUGCAGCGGCAUCGGCCCUGUGGCGGCGCCGGUCGGCAUUAUCUUCGGGGCUUGGGGCCCUUGGUUUGUCCAGGUUGGGCCUUCCUGGCCUGGGGCGUAUUUUGGCGGGUAGCAUCGACCCGCCAAGUGGCGGCUUCCCUGGACAUCAGCGGCCGUUUUAGUGGCCUGCGGGGGCACCGGCCUGCGGCUGGAGUGCGGUGGCAUCAGCCCUGUGGCGGUGCCGGGCGAUGGCGUCCUCGGGCCUUGGGGCCCCUGGUUUGUCUGGGUUGGGCCUUCCUGGCCUGGGGCGUAUUUUGGCGGGUUGCAUCAACCUGCCGAGCGGCGGCUUCCCUGGACAUUGGCGGCUGUUUUAGCGGACUCCAGGGGGCAUCAGCCUGCGGUUUGAGUGCGGUGGCAUCGGCCCCGCGGCAGCGCCGGUCGACGGAGUCUUCGGGGCUUGGGGCCCUUGGUUUGUCUGGGUUGGACCUUCCUGGCCUGGGGCGUAUUGGGCAGCCUAACUGGGCGGGACUGGUGGUUGCUCUGAUUGGUGGCACUUAUUUGGGGCCCUGCCGCUCCCUGCGGUUGGGUGGGGGUGUUGGUUGGCCUUGGGGUUACUGGCAUUUUUCGUGGCCCUCUUCUCUUCAGUUGGCUUCUCUGGAGGGUCGGAGUGGGGGUCUCUCAGAAGGGCAGUGAGUGGCUCUCUGGGCGCUCUUCUCUCCACGCCUGUCGUGUUCUUUUGCCCAUUGGGUAUUCUGGGUUGUUUUUGGUGGCAUUGGGGGGUUGGUUCUGGGCCCCUGCAAUUCGCCCACAUGCCUAGGAGAGCCAAGGAGAAAACCGGUGGUCAGCCUAUCAGGCAGCCCAAGCGGCCUGCACCUCCACCUUCUUCCUCUGAUGAGGAUGAUGUGGAGAUGGUUCUAAUUAGGGGCCUGAUCAACAGAAUGGAAGCUCUGGAGAAGGCCAAGGCUUCCAUUCUGUUGGAAGCAAGGGGGCUGGCCCGUUUGGAGCACCGAAGAAAGUUCCUCAAUGCACGCGUGGUGCUGCUGGAACACAGUUAUGAAAAUCUCUCUCUGACAGGUUAGGAGCUCUUGAAAAGGGCAAGGGCCCGCCCGGCCCAGAGCUGCCUGCAGAGCCGGCUGAUCCUGUAUUGCCAGUGCCUGGCGUUCCUGUUCCUGCGAUGCCUUCUCCUGCGGUUCCGGAAUCCCCGCUGCCAUUGGAUCAACCCCCCGUGGAUCCAUCUUUGCCUCCGCCCCCGGGUGCUGGCGGAGCGGCAGCUCCUGUUCGGGUCCUGGUUUGCGGCCAUUCGUCGGUCUUUGGGGCCUUCAAGAGGGCCAGCUCCUCCCAUUGGGACGCCCAGUUGGGUUUUGGAAAGCGUGCUUCAGUUUCUUGGUUGGGUAGGAGGGGCAUGUUAUGGAGUCAGUUGCUCCCUGCCAUUUGGGAUGAUUGAGCUAGGUUCCCUGGGCCUGAUGUCAUUGUGGUUCGCUUGGGGGGAAAUGAUUUGGGCGGGUGGGCUGGUCUCUCUCUUAUUAUUAUUACUAUUUCCCUGCCCCAGCUCUUCCGUUUGGGCCGAGCAUCCCCCUCCCUCCCUUCCCUGGAGCAGAGCGGGUCUAGUGACUGGUCGCCCUUCUGGGACCGAGUAGGAAUUUUUGGCUCUCAAUGCAUUGGCCACUGUUGGGGUUUAUUUUCGCUUACUCCGUUCUGCGUUUGGGGUUUGAGUUAGAAUUAGGCUGGUCACACGGUUAUUAUUGGUUAUUAUUGUAAUUGGUGAAUAAAGUUGUGGCCCUUUUCACCCAAA